Molecule: ribosomal RNA, 293 nt
Filed under: uncultured bacterium
Lineage: Bacteria
Description: partial 16S ribosomal RNA
Rfam family: Bacterial small subunit ribosomal RNA
Source: RNAcentral
GUGUCAGCAGCCGCGGUAAUACGUAGGGGGCAAGCGUUGUCCGGAUUUAUUGGGCGUAAAGAGCUCGUAGGCGGUUGGGCAAGUCACGUGUGAAAUCUCCACGCUCAACGUGGAGGCGCCACGUGAGACUGCCCUGACUCGAGUCCGGUAGGGGAGCGUGGAAUUCCCGGUGUAGCGGUGAAAUGCGCAGAGAUCGGGAGGAACACCCGUAGCGAAGGCGGCGCUCUGGGCCGGUACUGACGCUGAGGAGCGAAAGCGUGGGGAGCAAACAGGAUUAGAUACCCUGGUAGUCC